Long non-coding RNA from Neofelis nebulosa (Clouded leopard), 1606 nucleotides. RefSeq lists it as uncharacterized. The record is from RefSeq and is a predicted model, not a curated record. Lineage: Eukaryota; Metazoa; Chordata; Mammalia; Carnivora; Felidae. The transcript is spliced from 2 exons.
AAAAAGAACCCCUCAUUCCCUAUGAUUCCAGCCCUAAGGUCUGGACCCACUGGGACCUGACUGGCACGUACCCAGUGCUGAGCCAAUCACUGUGGCCAGGGAGGAUGGCCAGAUUGAGGUCGUGUGACCACCCUCCCUAAGGAAAAACUCCUGAGCCGUUCAACCUGAUUUCCAGGGUGGGAGUGAACCUGAGAGAACAGAGGUUAGUGUCCAGUUGCUGCCCUCCUCUGUGCUUAAUAUCCUGGGUUGCACCUGCUCUUAUCCUCUUCCCGCCACCCCACUGUCUUCGUGGCAGCACUUCUUCCCUUCCCCCACUGCUUUCUUCGGUACCAUUUCACCCAUACCAAAAAGGAACACGACUUCCUGUUUGAAUUCAGGAUCCGGGGCCCAUGCCCAGCUUCAAGAUUUGUUUUUUUGCGUCCCGGUAUAAUCGUUUAUUCAGUCAACCAGUGUCCACUGAGUACCUACUAUGUGCUCCCGUGAGUUUUCAGGGUCUAAUUAUUCUGGGUUUCUGGGGACAAAUCCCAGGAGCCUUCCAAGGAAAUGAGUUCUGUCUGAGCAAGCAUCUAGAGGCUAGCUUCCAGUCCUUCGGUGCCACCCACUGUGUGGCCCCGAGGGAAGUCUUUCCCCUCUCUGGACUUGUGCUUUCUUAUCUGCAAAAUGAGGCACUGGGAAAGUUGAAAUCCUGGAGCCCUCUCAGCUCUGACAUCCUGUGUGGCUGGGUCUUAGAACAAGCCUCUCCAGCUGAGUCAGCCUGUAAGCACCAUGGACAGUGACCACAACACUCCCUCUGCUGCCACAGGGAGCAUCUUGUUUGCUGUCCCCGUGGGUGCCCUGAACUGAGUCCACAACCAUACAGUUCUGUGUCUGAACCUUCCACUUCUUGGCUAAUGAGAACACCCAGGGCAGAGGAGACCCCGCAAUUUCUGUGCCUGUGUGGACCCCAAGGCUCUAAAUUCCUGUAAGGUGGCCUAAUGCUGCUGCUACAGAAAUUCUCUUUUGAGGUGUUUGUGAAUCCCAAGCCCUCCCACCACUGAAAGUCAAGUCUGGAACUCUGAAAAGAAAGCAUAGGGAGGGAGGCCACAUGGAGGAGAGGAGAGGAUUCUAUAGAGGUUGCUAUAUGUCCAUGGAGUCCAUCCUUCCUCUGCCUCCCUGUCCCUCCCUUCUUCUUCUCUCACCCACUCCCCUUUCUCUGUUAUAGCCGAAAUUGGUCAUAGCCCCGUGGGAGAAGAAAGAUGCCUGAUGUGUCAGUAGGGAGGAAAGACGUCAAAAUCAUAAGCACGGUGUGGAACUGGAUUACCACUCCCCCACAUUCAGUGGCCUGUAUCGAAGUGCCCUGCUCGGUUGGAGGAUUAUACAGCAUGGCCCAUGUUGUACUCAGGCAUGGCAGAGGGGCUGGUGAACAGUGAAAACAGAUGUGAGCACACGCGUUAAGAACCAGUGAGUAAUUUACCACUUUUCUUUUCCUUUUUCCACGACAAUGGCAAUAUUCCAGAUAAAGACAGACUGCUCUGUCAACCUGAGUCCAGAGGGGAGAGGAGACGAAGGAGACCCACAUGUGCAUGUAGUCUGAGACAUAAAGAAACUUUAUUGUAGGCCACUGAGA